GCCCCGGUGGCUCAGCCUGGUGGAGCGACUGAAGGCAAAUCAGUAGGUCGUGGGUUCAACUCCCACCCGGGGCU
Molecule: transfer RNA, 74 nt
Filed under: Hadesarchaea archaeon
Lineage: Archaea; Methanobacteriati; Hadarchaeota (SeqCode); Hadarchaeia (SeqCode)
Description: tRNA-Cys
Rfam family: tRNA
About the family: Transfer RNA (tRNA) molecules are approximately 80 nucleotides in length. Their secondary structure includes four short double-helical elements and three loops (D, anti-codon, and T loops). Further hydrogen bonds mediate the characteristic L-shaped molecular structure. tRNAs have two regions of fundamental functional importance: the anti-codon, which is responsible for specific mRNA codon recognition, and the 3' end, to which the tRNAs corresponding amino acid is attached (by aminoacyl-tRNA synthetases). tRNAs cope with the degeneracy of the genetic code in two manners: having more than one tRNA (with a specific anti-codon) for a particular amino acid; and 'wobble' base-pairing, i.e. permitting non-standard base-pairing at the 3rd anti-codon position.
Source: RNAcentral